GGCGAAAGUUCAACGGUUAGGGGAGAGUUUUGGUCAACCCACUAGCGGAGUUUUUUUUUUUUUUUUCUCUCGAGGGAAGCAGCAUAGAUAUUCGCUGUAAAUAUGUCCUGGCGAACUGCAGACAAUUCACAACAUAAGGUGUACGACGGUAAAUUACACGAAAACGUUUGACGACAAUAGCGUAUUUUUUCCCAGAGAUGUAACCGAGGGGGUGGAGGAUUGAUUUAUUAUUAAUGCUCGCGGUUUUCGUUACCGCGCGUAGGAACGCGGUGCGUUAUGACAAACGAUAACUGAUAGAGUGAUAACCGUAAUAGUGCGACACGUAAUUUAGCAGUUUCACGUGAAACGCGAAUCGGCGCAGUUAUUACCGUUAUCACAAACAAACGAAAAAAAGACGUUCGAAAUUCCAAACGUCUUCGGUUAGGAGGUACACGUGCGUUAAUGCGUUCAGGUUUUUUUCACGCAGUCCGGGAUGCCAGCCUAAAAAAUACACGACAUUUUUCGCCUUCCUUGUAAUUUAUAUGCAUAAUUUAAU
This is a non-coding RNA of Cinara cedri, 535 nucleotides long. The record is from the annotation of a GenBank genome assembly. Lineage: Eukaryota; Metazoa; Arthropoda; Insecta; Hemiptera; Aphididae.